GCCAAAAUAUUUAUCAUUCUUUGAAGCUUUGCAAGGGGGAAGGCUAAGACAUGGAUCAAAUUUUCGGAAACAAGCCGUGUGGACUCAAAUUAAGUGCGGAUGAAACCCUCUGAGGCUCUGACCAUAAAGGUAGGACAGAUGGGAAGCAGCAUUUCAGAGCGUAACGACAUGGUCCUGACUGCGGUAGGAUAGAUGGGAAGCAGCAUUUUCCAUCCUCCCGCGCCAGACCAACUUCGUCAUUUUCUGGUGAGAUGACGCCUCCUUAGUCUUCUUCAUGGCUCCAUGGACGUGGUCCUGACUGCGAUUGGUGUGAAGUGAGCACACAUUUGUUGAUCGUUAGUCUACCGCUUGUUUCCUGUUCUCUUCAUUACUUCCUUCCUGCCGUACCACUGUUAACUUGCAGGAUCGCGACAGUUACUGGAAGAUGAUGAACAAGUACAUAGGAUCAGAUGUAAUGUCAGUUAUUACACUUCUAAUCAUCAUCUUUGAGCCUUUGGGAAAAUGGCAGAGGUUUGUACUGAUGGACUAUGCCCUUAAGUUUCCCUCUAUACCACGCUGGAACGUCUAGACCACAAGAGGAACAUAAACAUUUUGAUGUUAGAGGUUCUCACAUCCUGAAGACACAAUACUUGCCAUAUGGUGUCAACCAAGAACUUUUUUGCUUUGGCUGUUGAAGAUAUCACAUUUUCUCAAUCUAUCUACCAGGAUGAACUCUUGCAUCUUGAUAGAUAAUCUUGCUAUUCUGAUGUCUGGUCAUGCAAACUUCCUUUUUUCUUUGAGAUUUAAAAAAUAAAUUGCGGAACAGGUGGGUGAAAGAA
Triticum dicoccoides is the source of this 818-nucleotide long non-coding RNA. RefSeq lists it as uncharacterized. The transcript is spliced from 6 exons. NCBI's taxonomy places the organism in Eukaryota, Viridiplantae, Streptophyta, Magnoliopsida, Poales, Poaceae. The record is from RefSeq and is a predicted model, not a curated record.